RNAcentral lists this ribosomal RNA (119 nucleotides) under Saimiri boliviensis boliviensis (Bolivian squirrel monkey). Lineage: Eukaryota; Metazoa; Chordata; Mammalia; Primates; Cebidae. The record is from RNAcentral.
GUCUACGACCAUACCACCCUGAACGCACUCGAUCUCAUCUGAUCUCAGAAGCCAAGCAGGGUCGGGCCUAGUUAGUACUUGGAUGGGAUUCCAUCUAGGAAUACAGGGUGCCAUAGGCU